GCUGCCAAGAUGGCAUAUAACUGCCUGCGGACA
This 33-nucleotide transfer RNA is filed under the name Cairina moschata (Muscovy duck). RNAcentral's name for it is "partial tRNA-Phe". Lineage: Eukaryota; Metazoa; Chordata; Aves; Anseriformes; Anatidae. The record is from RNAcentral.